CGUAGGUGGUUGUGUAAGUCGGAUGUGAAAUCCCCAGGCUUAACCUGGGAACUGCAUCCGAUACUGCAUGACUCGAGUGCAGCAGAGGGAAACGGAAUUCCUGGUGUAGAGGUGAAAUUCGUAGAUAUCAGGAGGAACACCGGUGGCGAAGGCGGUUUCCUGGGCUGACACUGACACUGAGGCGCGAAAGCGUGGGUAGCAAACAGGAUUAGAUACCCUGGUAGUCCACGCUGUAAACGGUGAGUGCUGGGUGUGGGAGGUGUAAUGCCUUCUGUGCCGAAGCUAACGCGUUAAGCACUCCGCCUGGGGAGUACGGCCGCAAGGUUGAA
RNAcentral lists this ribosomal RNA (329 nucleotides) under uncultured bacterium. Its description in RNAcentral is "bacterial SSU rRNA". It matches the Rfam family "Bacterial small subunit ribosomal RNA", at positions 570 to 898 of the family's 1533-position model. The record is from RNAcentral.